Molecule: long non-coding RNA, 213 nt
Filed under: Carica papaya (papaya)
Lineage: Eukaryota; Viridiplantae; Streptophyta; Magnoliopsida; Brassicales; Caricaceae
Description: long non-coding RNA (CPAP_LNC001744)
Source: RNAcentral
AUAGGGUGUGGAGGAUAUAUGUUAACAUUAGUUAGUGUCGAUUUAAUUUUUCAAACUCUAAACCAUUAUCUAGCUUUUUGAAAGUAUUAACAUCUCAUACUACGGGCUAACUAUUUUAAAUUUCACCAAUGUUGUAAGGGAAGAAGUCAUAGACAAAGUUAAUUUUUCUGCAUUUUAUGUUAAUUUGACUUAGCAUCAAUUUGUGGUUGAUAU